Long non-coding RNA from Homo sapiens (human), 1029 nucleotides. Ensembl annotates it as long intergenic non-protein coding RNA 879. The record is from Ensembl. NCBI's taxonomy places the organism in Eukaryota, Metazoa, Chordata, Mammalia, Primates, Hominidae.
AGAAGUCCAGGGCUAGGAGCCUCAGCCGGCGGACGCCAGGAAACAGGCUCCCUCUGCAGUGGAAUUACCCUUAUGUCUUUUCUGUCUAUGCUGAUCCACCUGAUCUUGAACUGGUGCUAUUCCAUGGGGAAAAUUGGAACAUGGGGCAAUUAACACUUUCUCCACUUUAUCCCAUCAACAGGAAAUUGAAAUAUAACCAACUAACUCAGGAGACAUCAUGGAAGAUGUCACACAGUGAAUGAUGAUGAAGCAGAAUUUUUAAAAUGUGUAGGAUUACGAGAAGUGGGGUCAUUUUUCUUUGUGUAUGGUAUUGCUGAUGCAGUUUAAUGCUCCAUUACUUCUAAAUUUUCAUCAUAAGCUAGAUUUUCCAGUUGUGGUUUCUAUAAAGAAAAACAAACAUUCUGAAGACAGUUUUUCCAGAUUUAUUCCAGAUAUCGAUGAUUAACUUUUGAAGAAAUAUCUGAAUGAAAUGCUCAUGAAAGGAUUAAGAAAGUCUGCAGUUGAGCCUGGAGCCAGCAAAAGACAUCAUCACUAAAAGUAUAUGCAUGACCCGCAUUUGUUGCCUUUAUGGUCCUUACCCAAGAUAUUUGAAUUCACCAGAAUGGUCUUAAUAUGGUAUUGUCUAGGUUAAUAGCAGGUAAUUGUGACAAGUCCAGUGUGGGUUACUGGUCAUGAAGAAUCCAUUGUUGAUGACAUCCCAGAAGAGAACACUAAGUCUUAGCUUUCAUCUUACCCCUGAACUUCCCUUCCUCUGAAGCACUCAUUAGGUGAAUAAACAAUAUUCCCUAUACCUAUAGAGUGGAAUACCACCCAGCAUCCUCUCACAUACAAAGAAAGAACAAAUUGCUGAUAGACACAGAUGUCCAUCAAUCUCAAAAGUCGUCAUGAAACCUCUGGAAGAAUUGAGCUGGUCGACUAUGCAAACAGUUGUCAAGAGCCUAUAAAAUAUGCAGCAUAAAAUUUUUCCUUUGUAGUCAAACCUGAUUAUUCCUCUUAGAUACUGGGAACAGAAUUUCACAGUCGUCAGAG